AAUAAUUCCUGGGCCGCCGUUAACGACACCUUCUUCCUCACCAAUGGUAUUCAUUGCGCCAUUUCCAUGAUGAAAAGGUUGAACAAAGGCUUGAAUCAAUUGAAAAAGCUGUGA
Non-coding RNA from Arachis ipaensis, 114 nucleotides. Lineage: Eukaryota; Viridiplantae; Streptophyta; Magnoliopsida; Fabales; Fabaceae. The record is from RefSeq and is a predicted model, not a curated record.